Molecule: ribosomal RNA, 957 nt
Filed under: Triticum aestivum (bread wheat)
Lineage: Eukaryota; Viridiplantae; Streptophyta; Magnoliopsida; Poales; Poaceae
Description: partial small subunit ribosomal RNA
Source: RNAcentral
AUGAGGCUGCAAAAAUUGCGGGUACUGAAUGUGACAUUUGGUUUGACUAUGCAUGUCAAGUUCUUAGAACCUAUUGGUGUCAAGCAUAUACGCCACCUUACUUUCAAGAUCGGUGGAUCAGACAGACUAAUUUUACCAGGGACCUUUAGAGAACUUCACCACAUUCAGACACUUGAUUUUGGUGAUCGCAGACAUCUUUCGCUCUCCAAAGGUGAAGACAGGAUUUAUUUGGUUAGCUUACGCCAUGUGGGGAAUGCCAGUAUGGUGAAGUUGGUGAACAUUGCCAGGUUGACAUCACUCCAAGAGUUAGGACCAUACUUCACAGUAAGUAAGGAUAGCAGAGGUUCCAAGAUAAAACAUCUGGGGGACCUAAACAAGCUUCGUGGCCGUUUGCGCAUUAGAGGUCUUGAAAAUGUUAGAAGCAAUGGGGAAGCUCUUGAAGCCAAGCUAGCUCAUAAGGAGCUACUCACAGAGCUAGAACUAUGCUGGGAUUGUGAUCAGGAGAGCUGCAAUCCAGAAGUUGAAGUAGAGGUACUUGAGGGUCUAUGCCCUCCAAAGGAUCUUGAAAAACUGGAACUCCACAUGUACAACAGAGUGAGAUACCCUAAUUGGAUGGUGGGUAGGCAGAACGGUGGCUUAAAGUGCCUGCAAGAACUUGAGCUCUGGAACUGCAGCCUAUUGGGGCUAGCUCUCACGAAACUGUCCAUCGAUGGUUGCCAAAAUAUCCAUUCUCUUCCAGUGCUGCCCCAGUCCCUUGAGGAGUUUGAACUCAAGCGCUGCAAUGAGGUGUUCAUGAGGUCGUGUGAAACAAUUGGAGAUCCAAACCGGCAAAAGAUUCAGCACAUUCACAAUAAACAAAUUGGACCUGGCAGGCGCAUGAGAGGUGUACAGUUUGAUGAUGAUGUUUCCCACACCGAAGCACAUGGGUCAGCUGGGUGCAGGUGCUUGAUUCUUUGA